RNAcentral lists this long non-coding RNA (584 nucleotides) under Equus caballus (horse). RNAcentral describes it as "lncRNA (ENSECAG00000058636.1)". Lineage: Eukaryota; Metazoa; Chordata; Mammalia; Perissodactyla; Equidae. The record is from RNAcentral.
CAGACGCUGUGCUCUUUACUUCUAAGCCAUACUGCCUCAUUGUGAGGUCACCCUCAAUUAAAGGCAGCUCCCCCACUCCAAGAUCUCUCUUAGAUCUCUUCUCUCUGUUCCUUAUGGAAAAGAUUCCCAGACUUCAGUCUCUUCUCCAACACUAUCUGAGUCUCCACCAUCUUCUUCUCUGCAACAUGGUGACUGCUAAGGCUGCCGGGCAAGCCCUGAACAGCCACAUGGACCAAUCUGAACUCUUCACAUACUUGUAAAUGUUAUUGAGAUAUCCCACAGGAAAGCACGAUGAGCUACAGAGAGCAUCCCCUUGAAGUGGGAGAGCAGGAAGGCAUCAUAAUGACAUUCCUGACUUUUGAGCAAUUACCUGUUAAGAAAACCUCUUUCCACAGAGUAAAAAGAUGAUCUAGCAGCUUUAAUCUUAUGUGGAACUUCAAAUGCCUAUCUCAGAGGAAGGGUGAACAUCUUUCCUAACAACUCUGGAAACAUUAUUUGAGGGGAUUCUGAUCAGCCCAAUUUAACUUCCAUGUGCAAUGCUGAAGAAAUCACUCAGGUCAAGAUACGGCAUGCUCUGAUUUGCU